UCGCCCCCCCCAAAGCUAUCUUGUAGAAGUUCUUGUCCGAUCACCGAAGUCAAGCAAUGUUGGGCCAGGUCAGUAUUUGGGAGGGUGACCACCUGGGAACAUCGGGAGCUGUAGGCU
This is a non-coding RNA of Cordylochernes scorpioides, 117 nucleotides long. The record is from the annotation of a GenBank genome assembly. Lineage: Eukaryota; Metazoa; Arthropoda; Arachnida; Pseudoscorpiones; Chernetidae.